Molecule: ribosomal RNA, 484 nt
Filed under: uncultured bacterium
Lineage: Bacteria
Description: partial 16S ribosomal RNA
Rfam family: Bacterial small subunit ribosomal RNA
Source: RNAcentral
AGUGAACGCUGGCGGCGUGCUUAACACAUGCAAGUCGAACGAGAACGGGCUAUAGCUUGCUAUAGUUGUCAGCUAAGUGGCGCACGGGUGAGUAAUGUAUAGGUAAUAUGCCUCUUACUAAGGGAUAACAAAUGGAAACGUUUGCUAAUACCUUAUACUCCUUAUUAACAGAAGUUAAUAAGGGAAAGAUUUAUUGGUAAGGGAUUAGCCUGUAUUGUAUCAGUUAGUUGGUGGGGUAAUGGCUUACCAAGACUAUGACACAUAACUGGUUUGAGAGGAUGAUCAGUCACACUGGAACUGAGACACGGUCCAGACUCCUACGGGAGGCAGCAGUGGGGAAUAUUGCACAAUGGACGAAAGUCUGAUGCAGCAACGCCGCGUGGAGGAUGACACAUUUCGGUGCGUAAACUCCCUUUAUAUGAGAAGAUAAUGACGGUAUUAUAUGAAUAAGCACCGGCUAACUCCGUGCCAGCAGCCGCAGUAA